Molecule: small nuclear RNA, 99 nt
Filed under: Amborella trichopoda
Lineage: Eukaryota; Viridiplantae; Streptophyta; Magnoliopsida; Amborellales; Amborellaceae
Source: RNAcentral
GUCUCUUCAGAAACAUCCAAUAAAAUUGGAAUUACAUAGAGAAAUUAGCAUGGCCCCUACGCAUGGGUAACACACAAUCGAGAAUUGGUAUGAAUUUGU